GGAGUUGCGGCUCAGUGGUAGAGUGCUUGCCUCACAUGUGUGAGGCACUGGUUUUGAUUCUCAGCAUUGUUUGUAAAUAAAUGAAUAAAAUAAAGUCCAUCAACAAUUUAAAAAAAUAUUGAAAAAAAAAAAGAGGCUGGGGAUAUAGAUUAGUUAGUAGAGUGCUUGCUCUGGGUUCAAUACCCAGCACCA
This 192-nucleotide transfer RNA is filed under the name Marmota monax (woodchuck). RNAcentral's name for it is "tRNA.Val". Lineage: Eukaryota; Metazoa; Chordata; Mammalia; Rodentia; Sciuridae. The record is from RNAcentral.